Long non-coding RNA from Triticum urartu, 1128 nucleotides. RefSeq lists it as uncharacterized. Lineage: Eukaryota; Viridiplantae; Streptophyta; Magnoliopsida; Poales; Poaceae. The record is from RefSeq and is a predicted model, not a curated record.
GUCUCUUUGGUACGGUGAUUGACUUCUUUUUUCCUCUGUAUGUGCAGGUGCUGAUCAUUGCUACGUGUUGGUGUACCUCGACAAGCUCACCCAGGGAGGGCACCCCCAAGCUCAACUCCAUGGAGCCAUGCUUCAGCGUCAAGGACAGGUUUUUGUUUCUGCAUCCCUUACCAUGACAUGAUUUCUUCUGUUCUUUCUCGAUUUGAGCUCAAUUUUUGUGAUAUCCUUCUGGUGCAGCAGCAGGAUUCCGUUGGUACAACAGAGGACAAUGGGUUAUCUAGGUGCGUGGUGGUAGGCUAUUCCGUUGGACCUGCUGCAUGUUCAUCAUCGGCUGCAUAACAGCCAUGAACCAACUCGCCUGUCCUUUUAUUUGUGGUAUUGAUGGCCAUGGACCACAGUUCCAGUAGUCGGCAAAAUCAAGUAUAUAGUAACUGCUCCUAUCCAGUAUGCAUGCAAAGGUGCUGACCAUUGGUUCGUAUUGGUGUACCUCGACAAGCUCACCCAGGGAGGACACCCCCAAGUUCAACUCCAUGGAGCCCUGCUCCAGCGUCAAGGACAGCAACAGGAUUCCAUCGGUACAGGUGAGGACAACGUGUUCAUCGAGUUGCGCGGUGGUAGGCUCUUCCGUUGGACCCAUUGCCUGUUCGGCAUCGGUUGCAUAACAGCAUGGGAGGUGGCGAUCAGUCGGACACGGGGGGGCAGUCGGUGCCGUGGAGGUGAUGCUCAUGCAGUGGGUCUCAGCCCUGUUUAAAGGACUUAGAUGGCCGAAUUUGCGGAGGAACCCUUAAAUAGGAAUGGUGUGUAAUGUUCUUAGCUUCGUGUAGAGUACUUAUUUAUUGCAAUCAGAGUAAUGAUCUGUUCUCUGUAGCCAAAAUUCUGCACUGUUUUGUUUCAGUUUUCCUUGUCAAGAUAGUCCAUGUGUGUGUGAUGUGCUCAUGUGAGCUAUCUUACAGGAAUUACCAUGUAUGUGUGGUGCAAAUGUGUUCUGCAUAUUAUACCCAUGUUGGAUUUUUAGUGAAGCAUGGUACACUUGCUCUAUUUACAUAUACACUGGCCAUGGCGGUAGGCUCUUCCGUCGGACCCGCUGCCUGUUCAGCAUCGGCUAUAUAACAGCCAUGAUGGGCACCU